This is a long non-coding RNA of Oxyura jamaicensis (ruddy duck), 2266 nucleotides long. RefSeq lists it as uncharacterized. The record is from RefSeq and is a predicted model, not a curated record. NCBI's taxonomy places the organism in Eukaryota, Metazoa, Chordata, Aves, Anseriformes, Anatidae. The transcript has 2 exons.
UAAUAAAUUUCAUAGCUCUGUUUUAUUUUCAAGGAUGCUUUUCCAUAGGUUUCCACUGUAGUGACAUCUCAGAAAAUUUUCCAAAAAGUAGCCAGAGGACUGUAUGUAUUUGCCUUUGAUUUUUUGAUAAAUAAUGAGUCUAUGCCUCUCUCAGGAUUAAUCAUUCACCUUUCUUUGGCUCAUGUUUGAUAUAUAACUGUGCUUUUCGUAUGAUAGAUCUAGUGAGAGGUAACGUUCUGCCAUCUUCCUGUUAUCUUCUAAAAGCUAGGGGUGGGGAAAGGUUACAAAAACAGUCUUUUUACACGUUUUCUUAACCUGAAAUUAAGACUGGAACUUUAAUAGUUGAAAGUCAGAUUAGUUAAAUGGCCUAAGAGCGUGAUGCUGAUUUUUGUUGUUGUUCAAUGACAGCAUGGUUCUUCCAGUGGUUGUGGUAGCUUUAAUAGCUGAACACUAAAAGUAUGAAGGGGUCUGAAAACUAAUUUAUCUUCUACGUAUUUGUGAGGUCCACCAGUAGUUAGUUUACAAGUUUGGAAGCUGAGAGAACUGCAUUGUAGCUUCCGAUCUUCACCUCUUCCAAGGGUGCGGGACUGCUGCAAGGAUAGCCUCAUUCAAGUUGUGAUGCAGUCAGUAAGGUUUUCAGGAUCAUACAAACAUCUAAGAGUGUUUCUUUUGUCCAACCAAAUCUCUGAUGUUUUGUGCAAAGUCAGUUUGACUCCUUUGAAACUUCUUUGUGAGCACACCCUUCAGCAGGUCACUUUGAGGCUUCCAUCUGAAAUGUUGCAUACAGAUUUACAGAUUUUUGCAAUGGUUACUUAGGCAAAAUCUUUAGCAACAAAUCAGUGCACCUGAAGCAUUUUAAAACCAACUCUAUGUGGGUGUAAGACAGAAUUAAACAGAAAAGAAUGUUAGUGGGAAAAUCUUUCACGAUUCAGCACCAGCUAUCCUCAGUGGUGGCACAAUUUCCCAAUAAAAGCUUUUUUUAAAUUUAUUUCUUUUUUUUGAUUUUAUUUUUAUCCUUUGUCUCUCUUUCCAUGAAGAAGGCUUGGACUCUGCUUGUAGAAUUGGUGACUAUAUAUGCUGCUAGAUAAUAUCCUAUCUAUCUAUAUACAUAUGAUAUUGGAGACGAUAUAUGCUGCUCGUCACUUGUUACCCCUAUUGUAACUUCUCUUUGAUGAAAGUGUUCUUUCUUCCAUGUCUCAGAAGCUGUCCUAGCUCUCUUCUGGCCAGGAAGGGGAGGCACAGGCCUCCCAAGUUGCACCUACAGCUAGCCUGAAAAGUGGCAGUUUAAUUUUUUAUUAAGUGUCUCUAACAAUAUGGCAAAUUAGGUUCUGAUUUAAAAUAUACAAUAAUAGCUCUGGGUGAGAUAUAGAGAACUGGAAGGUCUGUAACCCUGUCAUUUUCUUUAGUCAUAUCAGUGGAAAAUGUGACUAAAAAAAAUAAGUAAAAUGAAACAAAAACCAGAACAACAAAAAGUGAAUAUUGUCAGUCCUACAAAGAUUUAAAGAAAUGGCUGAAACAUAAGAAACAGAAGGAGUAGAAAUCUCCACAUCUUACAAGAAAUGGAGAUCAUCAACAAAUUUCCCUAGGUACCUUUGUUGAAAUAUAGGCUGUUCACAUCUCCACCUUAGGGAGGAGGUGGAGCAGUGAGGUGGCAGUUUGACAAUACCAAAUUAUUCAGGGUAGCAGGGACAACAGGAGGCUGAAGAAUUGCAGUCUGACAGUGAGAAUUCAAGAGUGAAUAGCUAUGAAGUGGAAAAGAACAAAAUACAAUGCAGGUAAAUUUUAGUGCUGGGAUAUGUAGCCUCGUGAAGAUGUAGGGUGAAAGCUCAGUAGUGUUUCAAAAAAGACAAACUGAAGGUUAUCAAUUAAUAGAAAAAGGACAGAACAAACAAAAAACAAAGGAUUAAAGCUUCUCUUGGAAGAAAGCAAGUAAGUUAGUGAUCAUCAGGCUGGAAAAGAGAUUAUCACAGAAUGGUUUGGGUUGGAAGGAACCUUAAAAGAUCACCUGGUUCCAACCCCCUGCCAUGGGCAGGGACACCUCCCACCAGAGCAGGUUGCCCAAAACCCCAUCCAGCCUGGCCUUGAACACCUCCAGGGAGGGGGCAUGAUGGGAAGGCAAGGCUUGGAACUAAUAUGUCCAAAACAUAAGUAGACAAACAGUUAACCAAUUGCCUCGUCCGUUAUAGGCAGUAGGAAUAAUCAAAAAGAAACUUGAGACCCAAGUUCGAACCGACCUGGUUCUUUAGGGGAAAAAAAAGUAAAAACA